CCUACGGGGGGCAGCAGUGAGGAAUAUUGGUCAAUGGACGAGAGUCUGAACCAGCCAAGUAGCGUGAAGGAUGACUGCCCUAUGGGUUGUAAACUUCUUUUAUAUGGGAAUAAAAUGUUCCACGUGUGGGAUUUUGUAUGUACCAUAUGAAUAAGGAUCGGCUAACUCCGUGCCAGCAGCCGCGGUAAUACGGAGGAUCCGAGCGUUAUCUGGAUUUAUUGGGUUUAAGGGGAGCGUAGGUGGAUUGUUAAGUCAGUUGUGAAAGUUUGCGGCUCAACCGUAAAAUUGCAGUUGAAACUGGCAGUCUUGAGUACAGUAGAGGUGGGCGGAAUUCGUGGUGUAGCGGUGAAAUGCUUAGAUAUCACGAAGAACUCCGAUUGCGAAGGCAGUUCACUGGACUGCAACUGACACUGAGGCUCGAAAGUGUGGGUAUCAAACAGGAUUAGAUACCCCAGUAGUC
Molecule: ribosomal RNA, 460 nt
Filed under: uncultured bacterium
Lineage: Bacteria
Description: partial 16S ribosomal RNA
Rfam family: Bacterial small subunit ribosomal RNA
Source: RNAcentral